CAGACACCUACAACAGGGUGGAGAAUGGGGAGAGGGGCCUUUGUUUUGGUGGCAUUUCUUGUCUAACCAGGGAUGUAGCCUUCAGUGACAACUUCUGCCUAUCAGAUAAUGGAUAUGGCAGUGGGCCAGACAUCCAAGGUCUUGGGGCAAUACCAGCAUACCUUUGAGGCUUAGUUCACAAUGUAGUGGUUUCUUCUGUCUGUCCUAUGGCAGGGCAGAAGGUACUUUCAUGGUUGGUGAACAGCAUCUUUGGGACAGCAAUUCAAUUAUCCUUAAUUAAUGAAGAAGCAAAUCAGAAAAAACUUUCAUAUAUGCAUCUGCCUAAAGGUCAGAUGGAAUGACGGAAAUCCAUGACAGGCCUGUGCUGUGUCCCCAGCUCCACCCGCAUGCUGCCUGAUAACUGUAUUUUCAUAGAACCAGAGGCCUAUUGCAAUUAAGGCAUUUGAAGUGCCUGUCAUGUGGCCAGACCCUAGGAGAUGAGUUUAACGCAGCAGAUCACAUGAAUUGAUCCAGGCAAGCCUGUUGCUUCUGGGCCCAAGAAUCCAGGAGUCCCUGUCCAUCUUAUGUGGCCUUCCCCUCUCCGCUCCACACCCAUCUGGUCGCAAAGGAGCAAAGAAGCCUCCUCAGCAGAAGAGAAUGCUUGUCCUUCCUGCCUUCCUGCCUCCCAGGGAGCUUCCUUCAGCUCCUGCAUCAUCUGUGCCCUCCACACAGAUUCAGUUCAAGUACUUCUCUACAAUCAUCCAACAAGAUAUUGGACACUAGAAAUGGAAGGCCAGAAUCUUUCCUUAUCUCUGCACAUCAGUGGGCCAUCAAAUUCAUCACCUGAUGGAGCACCUUUAUGACAGCAACCUGCGCCUUGCUGAGCAAGACUUU
RNAcentral lists this long non-coding RNA (873 nucleotides) under Equus asinus (donkey). RNAcentral describes it as "lncRNA (ENSEASG00005038757.1)". Lineage: Eukaryota; Metazoa; Chordata; Mammalia; Perissodactyla; Equidae. The record is from RNAcentral.